CAACAUUUGCCUAUCAAAACUUGUCCUGUGAUUUACAAAACUAGAACCUCACUGCCCCACCAAAAGAUGAAGUGGCCCCCAGACCCCAGGUCUAACAUAAGAACCAUAUGCUAUUGUGCUCUUUCGAGCUCUACUCCUAGAUCUUGAUAGAAUUCUUGACAACUUGAAUGGUGAUUGGUGCUUCUUCAAAGACUUGAAGAUUGAGAGCAUGUUGAAGGGUAUGAAUUUAAAAAUAAUUGUGAUCACAUCGUCAUCAUUGAUUCUUGUACCUCUUCAGUGUGCUAAAUUCAACACAGAGGUAUGGACGUGGGAGAAGUAAAAGGAAACUGAGAAGUAAAAAUUUGCAAAGGAUGUCUCUUGAGGACAGACUCAUAUUUACCAUGAUUACAUCCAUCUCUUUGCUGCUAGAAGAUUUCCGUGCCAUUUA
Pongo pygmaeus (Bornean orangutan) is the source of this 427-nucleotide long non-coding RNA. RefSeq lists it as uncharacterized. Lineage: Eukaryota; Metazoa; Chordata; Mammalia; Primates; Hominidae. The record is from RefSeq and is a predicted model, not a curated record. The transcript has 3 exons.